Long non-coding RNA from Tupaia belangeri chinensis (Chinese tree shrew), 1064 nucleotides. RefSeq lists it as uncharacterized. The transcript has 7 exons. NCBI's taxonomy places the organism in Eukaryota, Metazoa, Chordata, Mammalia, Scandentia, Tupaiidae. The record is from RefSeq and is a predicted model, not a curated record.
GGAGGCGCUAGUGGGAGAAUGAAAGUCACUGGAAGGAAAGAAGCCAGGGCUAUCCUCAUCCUCUUUCAUCUGUACGUAGUGGAGUGUCUGACAGCGGUUGUAUCUCCUCUUGCUCCCAUUGGGCAGCUUGCUCUAUUUCCAGCUUCUGUGGGGUGACCUCAGUCCUGGGACUCAGUAACACCUUCUACUUUUUAUCUAGGGAUGAGAAAAUCGCAGCAGAGAAGCUUAGGUGAUGCACUGAACGACAUAUAUUAUAGCUGCCUUGCCAUUUCUGGGUGUUAUCAGUGAGAUAGGCACAAUAAUAUCCCCCAAAAGGUGCCCAUGGCCUAAUCCUCAGAUCCUUGUCUGUGAAACUGUGGCAGGCUGUACAUUGUUAGCCUCCAAAUAUUGUAACAUCCUUUCAUAGUCUUGACAGGAUCACAACAAAAUAUUUCAGGGAUGUUAAAGUAGAAGAAAAUAUGCGUCUUAGAAUGAAUGAAACCCUCCUGUUAGAAUUGAUGAAAGACGGCAUAUCACUUGUCAGAGAAAGAUAAGCACUAUCGAAAAGGUACAAUCAAAACUUUUGGAGUGCCAAAGUGAAAAACAUAAUUUUUGUUGGAAUGAUCAAGAAAAUAUUGCUGGAGAGCAUGCUGAAAAUCAGUCACGGUUGGAGUAUUCGUACUAUAAAAUUGGGAAAGCACAGAAAAUCUGUACCUUUGUUCCAGGAAACUGGUUAUUAAACAUUUACCAUUGCAACACAGAUGGCGAUGCAUUACAUCUUACAUAAAGGAAGAGAAAAAAACCAUGGAAGGAUUUUUGCUAUAAGGCACAAGUACCUGCGGAAGAGACAGACAGAAACAGAAAGCAAGAAAUUGCCCCUCAAGGUGAUGGACAUGCGACAAUAUCUUCUUCUCCACUCUCCUCUUGGGAUUUCUGGCAUGCACACACUUGUGCCCAGCAUUGAAUUGUAAGCUUCCAGGUGUGGAGCACCCCCGCCCUAACAUGGCACCGAGAGCACCCAGACCUCUACAUAAACAAGCCCAUAUUUGGUUAUUGUUCCUGUUCCGGAACGCGUAGGCACUGCC